Molecule: ribosomal RNA, 144 nt
Filed under: Triticum aestivum (bread wheat)
Lineage: Eukaryota; Viridiplantae; Streptophyta; Magnoliopsida; Poales; Poaceae
Description: partial small subunit ribosomal RNA
Source: RNAcentral
AUGAACAAGGUGAAGAGCCAUGGCAGCAAGCACAAGGGGUCAGGAUCAGGAGGAGGAGGGAUCAGCAGGAUGCUGAGGCAACACAAGGCCAGGCUCUACAUCAUCCAGCGAUGCAUUGUCAUGCUCCUCUGUUGCCAUGACUGA